Frieseomelitta varia is the source of this 1128-nucleotide long non-coding RNA. RefSeq lists it as uncharacterized. NCBI's taxonomy places the organism in Eukaryota, Metazoa, Arthropoda, Insecta, Hymenoptera, Apidae. The record is from RefSeq and is a predicted model, not a curated record. The transcript has 3 exons.
CGACGACUGCGCCACUGCGCGGUAUCUCGUCGAAACGAUCCGACGGGCACGCGAGAGGGGUGAGGACGGGAGGCUGAAGACAGAGAAAAGAAGGGGGAUGCCAGGGAGGGAAAGAGACAAGUAGAUCGGUGCGCGUGCACGGUAAUAGUAGGUUCUACGUAUAGAAAGAGAAAUAUAUAGACCGUGUGUGUUGUGCGCUUGCGUGUGUGUAUGCUGCGUGUGUGUAUGUGUGUGUGUGUGUGUGUGUGUGUAGUUUGAUUUGCGUACUCCGGAAAGGAAAAGCGAGAGAGAUAAGGUUGGACUCAACGGGAAAGCGCGAGCGCGUACGACGAAGACGUGGCCGAAACUGACGGUCGUUCCAGUUGCCUUCGUUUCGUCGUCGUGACAAACAUGUCGUGUAGACCACCGACGGAUGGAUGGACACGCGACACAGCGGGACGGAUUUUCGUGGACGCGAGGGUCGCGUUUUAGUUGUUUGUCGCGUUGUACAGUGGCGCUCACGACGUUGGGACGCCCACCACCUGUAGUGCUCACCCUCUUUUCCUCGCGGCGAACCAUCCUCCCUCGCCCGCCACACGCGCGCGCAUUCGCAUUACGUCGUCCUUUUAGCCUGAUACCCCUUUCGCGCUUUACAUUUCUAAUCGAGUGGAGUGGGGAGUGCUGGAAGGGGGUGAAUUUUAAAUUCGUGUUUAGUUGUCGCUGUCAUCGCCAAUCUUCGCCAUCAUCGCUGCAUCACGUGACAUAACCUGCACUCUUUUUGGUGAUGGAUACAGCGAAGUACGAGGUCAGCCAAGUUCAUAAACAUAAAGGCAAACAGAAACGGACGUUCCUGGAAUUGUUUUGAAGCCAACCUCGACAUUCCUGGAAUUAUUUUGGAGCCAAAUGUCGUAACGCGGUCCCGCGGCCGCCAGCCUCUUUUACGUGGACGUUCCAAAGUUGGUCAUUGUACAACGAAGGGAUGUGGCAACGAAGAAUUCAGCGGCAAGGCAAGGGCGGAGGAAUGGAAAGUAGGGUAAGUUGUUUCACUUAUUUAUGGGCGGUUUUAACGCGGGGUAAUUGGAUACGAAACAACCGGCGAAAUAUUUUUGGAGAUUUAUCGGGGGAGAGGGUAAGCUGCGUUCUCUGACU